This is a non-coding RNA of Pelobates cultripes (western spadefoot toad), 236 nucleotides long. The record is from the annotation of a GenBank genome assembly. Lineage: Eukaryota; Metazoa; Chordata; Amphibia; Anura; Pelobatidae.
AGAUAGAUUGAAAAUUCCUAUUUGUUCUACCUUUUCAUUUUCUUUUCUCUUGUGAUAUCUCUUGCCCCCCCUACAUCCUCUAAAAAAGGUCUCUUUCUUAUGUUGAUUUGUGGGGGCUCUCGAUAGUUCUGAUCGAAAUAUUGACUUCUUGGUCCUAAAAAAUGAUCAUUUGAUUGUGUAUAAUUUUCUUUUGCCCCUACUCGGUCAGUCUCUUCUGUAUGGAGUAAGUCAAACUU